UUCCUACGGGAGGCAGCAGUGAGGAAUAUUGGUCAAUGGACGAGAGUCUGAACCAGCCAAGUAGCGUGAAGGAUGACUGCCCUAUGGGUUGUAAAAUUCUUUUAUAUGGGAAUAAAAUGUUCCACGUGUGGGAUUUCGUAUGUACCAUAUGAAUAAGGAUCGGCUAACACCGUGCCAGCAGCAGCGGCAAUACGGAGGAUCCGAGCGUUAUCAGGAUUUAUUGGGUUUAAAGGGAGCGUAGGUGGAUCGUUAAGUAAGUUGUGAAAGUUUGGGGC
Molecule: ribosomal RNA, 275 nt
Filed under: uncultured bacterium
Lineage: Bacteria
Description: partial 16S ribosomal RNA
Rfam family: Bacterial small subunit ribosomal RNA
Source: RNAcentral